GUGGGGAAUUUUGGACAAUGGGCGCAAGCCUGAUCCAGCAAUGCCGCGUGCAGGAAGAAGGCCUUCGGGUUGUAAACUGCUUUUGUACGGAACGAAAAGGCUCUGGUUAAUACCUGGGGCUCAUGACGGUACCGUAAGAAUAAGCACCGGCUAACUACGUGCCAGCAGCCGCGGUAAUACGUAGGGUGCAAGCGUUAAUCGGAAUUACUGGGCGUAAAGCGUGCGCAGGCGGUUUUGUAAGACAGACGUGAAAUCCCCGGGCUCAACCUGGGAAUGGCGUUUGUGACUGCAAAGCUGGAGUGCGGCAGAGGGGGAUGGAAGUCCGCGUGUAGCAGUGAAAUGCGUAGAUAUGCGGAGGAACACCAGUGGCGAAGGCAAUCCCCUGGGCCUGCACUGACGCUCAUGCACGAAAGCGUGGGGAGCAAACAGGAUUAGAAACCCGGGUAGUCC
Molecule: ribosomal RNA, 450 nt
Filed under: uncultured bacterium
Lineage: Bacteria
Description: partial 16S ribosomal RNA
Rfam family: Bacterial small subunit ribosomal RNA
Source: RNAcentral